AAUGUGUCCAACAAUGAUUAAGGAGACCAAUUCAGCAAAGGCGCCACCCACUCAGCAUGGAUAGUAUGGUUCAGAAGCUCACAUUCAAUGCAAUGUAUGGAAAGUAGAAAGAAAUUCAGAAAUGAGGUCUGCCUUGCAAUCUCAAAGCAGCUUGGAAAGAAUGCCGCCUUAUUCAAAACUUUGCUAAAUAACCUGGAUUGUCCAAAACUUCCGGAAACAAAAUUGUCCUAAUGGAUGUGAUGGCUGCAAUAUUACAGCAAGUGGGAAGAUAGUUUCAUUUCCUCCUUUCCAGGCAUUUGACGAAUGCAAGCCUUACAGGCUCAGUGAGAAAAGUUUUGUGCAACAGCAGCAUGGAAUGUCUGUGAAAUCCUCGACUCUUUCUGGAAGUCACACCCAGUUUCAGGAGCUGUAGUAAAAUGCCAAAGGCACAGUUCCCGAUUGCUAAACCGGAUGCUUGAGAGAUACUCUUUCCUGUUUUAUUUCUCCCGCUCUGAACUGGUUACCGUAAUUGUGGGAGUUGCAUUAAUGGCAUGUUGGAAUUCCCAGCAACCAGCUUCGGUUCACACUCAAUCAAGGGUAAAUAAAUAAAGAUUAUUUUUCUUGUUGUAAUAGAA
Molecule: long non-coding RNA, 614 nt
Organism: Pantherophis guttatus
Lineage: Eukaryota; Metazoa; Chordata; Lepidosauria; Squamata; Colubridae
Source: RefSeq, a predicted model, not a curated record